Molecule: long non-coding RNA, 448 nt
Organism: Asparagus officinalis (garden asparagus)
Lineage: Eukaryota; Viridiplantae; Streptophyta; Magnoliopsida; Asparagales; Asparagaceae
Exons: 3
Source: RefSeq, a predicted model, not a curated record
GCGGGGUACCUCCAGAAUAUCCUCCAUGGCAUCCUCACCAACCUCAACUGCGACAGGAUCCUCAACAAGGAGUCCUACCACUUCUGUAAUUCUACGCGUCUCAUGUUAUCUGCGUGUUAAGACCGACUCUACAUUACUAAUGCAACUGAUGAAGGAUAUGUUUUCAGAUUUGCCACCAUCCACCACUAGCGAUGAUGUUUUUACACACAUCAUAUUAUGCUUGUCUGAUAAGAUUCCAGCUGAAUUAUUUAGAGAAGUUUUGGCUCUUAUAGAUUUAGACACUAGUGCACAGGUUGGACUUGCUGGAGGAAGCAGUAGUGGUGUGCAGAGGAGGGAUAUUGACGACGACGACGAUGACUCGUGAUUUUCUGUAGUUGGAUGACUCUCUACGUGUUGAUACCAUCAGCUGUAUCGACAAUGAUCCCAUGUGAGUUGAUUAUGAAUUGGA